Molecule: transfer RNA, 75 nt
Filed under: Candidatus Nealsoniibacteriota bacterium
Lineage: Bacteria; Candidatus Nealsoniibacteriota
Description: Candidatus Nealsonbacteria bacterium tRNA-Asp
Rfam family: tRNA
About the family: Transfer RNA (tRNA) molecules are approximately 80 nucleotides in length. Their secondary structure includes four short double-helical elements and three loops (D, anti-codon, and T loops). Further hydrogen bonds mediate the characteristic L-shaped molecular structure. tRNAs have two regions of fundamental functional importance: the anti-codon, which is responsible for specific mRNA codon recognition, and the 3' end, to which the tRNAs corresponding amino acid is attached (by aminoacyl-tRNA synthetases). tRNAs cope with the degeneracy of the genetic code in two manners: having more than one tRNA (with a specific anti-codon) for a particular amino acid; and 'wobble' base-pairing, i.e. permitting non-standard base-pairing at the 3rd anti-codon position.
Source: RNAcentral
GGACCUGUGGUGUAGCUUGGUUAACACAUCCCCCUGUCACGGGGAAGAUCGUGGGUUCAAAUCCCAUCGGGUCCG